This 3054-nucleotide ribosomal RNA is filed under the name Triticum aestivum (bread wheat). Its description in RNAcentral is "partial small subunit ribosomal RNA". The record is from RNAcentral. Lineage: Eukaryota; Viridiplantae; Streptophyta; Magnoliopsida; Poales; Poaceae.
ACUAUCAGAAACCCUACUACAGUACUGCUAGUACUACGCCCACCGAUUCCCCGUGUCCCCCCGCAGGACCGCACCCCGCACGCGCCCUAAAAUAUCCCGAAGCCGAAAUCCCCCAAUUCCCCUCUCUCUCUCCCUCUCCCCAUCGCCCCCCUCCCGCACCCGAGCGCGAGAGAAUCCGAGGAGAGGAGCGGCGCAAGGAGGCGGUGAUGGAGUCGGAUCAGGGCAAGCUCUUCAUCGGCGGCAUCUCCUGGGAGACGACGGAGGAGAAGCUGCAGGAGCACUUCUCCAACUUCGGCGAGGUCUCCCAGGCCGCCGUCAUGCGCGACAAGCUCACUGGCCGCCCGCGGGGCUUCGGCUUCGUAGUCUACGCCGACCCCGCCGCCGUCGACGCCGCCCUCCAGGAGCCCCACACCCUCGACGGCCGCACGGUCGAUGUGAAGCGGGCGCUCUCGCGGGAGGAGCAGCAGGCUACCAAGGCGGUGAACCCUAGCGCAGGAAGGAACGCUGGAGGUGGUGGCGGCGGCGGCGGCGGCGGCGGCGAUGCCGGUGGUGCUAGGACAAAGAAGAUUUUUGUGGGCGGACUGCCCUCCAGUCUGACAGAUGAGGAGUUCCGGCAGUACUUCCAGACCUUCGGGGCUGUCACCGAUGUUGUGGUGAUGUAUGACCAGACAACACAGCGUCCCCGGGGCUUCGGCUUCAUUACCUUUGACUCGGAGGAUGCGGUUGACCGUGUGCUGCACAAAACCUUCCACGAUCUUGGAGGGAAGAUGGUAGAGGUGAAGCGUGCUCUGCCCCGAGAGGCGAAUCCUGGCUCUGGCGGCGGCGGCCGUUCCAUGGGAGGUGGGGGUUUUCAUAGUAACAAUGGACCCAACUCCAAUGCUAGCAGCUAUGAUGGCAGAGGCGAUGCUAGCAGAUAUGGGCAGGCGCAGCAAGGCAGUGGUGGCUACCCAGGUUAUGGUGCUGGAGCUUAUGGCAGUGCUCCAACUGGGUAUGGAUAUGGGCACACCAAUCCUGGAACUACAUAUGGAAAUUAUGGGUCUGCAGGGUAUGGAGCUGUUCCUGCUGCGUAUGCUGGGGCUUAUGGCAAUCCAAGUGCUGCUGCUUCCGGUUACCAGGGUGGCCCUCCAGGCGCUAAUAGAGGACCCUGGGGCAGUCAAGCUCCGUCUGGUUAUGGCACUGGGGGUUAUGCUGGCAAUGCAGGCUAUGGUGCAUGGAAUAGCUCUUCUGCUGGUGGGAAUGCACCCACUAGUCAGGCACCUGGUGCAGCUGCAGGUUAUGGAAACCAGGGCUAUGGUUAUGGUGGAUAUGGAGGAGAUGCAUCAUAUGGUAAUCAUGGAGGGUAUGGUGCUUAUGGUGGCCGGGGAGAUGGUGCUGGAAAUCCUGCUACUGGUGCAGCCUCUGGGUAUGGUGCUGCUGGAUAUGGAAGUGGGAAUGGAAACUCUGGAUAUCCAAAUGCGUGGACUGAUCCUUCACAAGGCGGGGGAUUUGGUGGUGCAGUCAAUGGAGCUUCUGAGGGCCAAUCAAAUUAUGGCAGUGGUUAUGGUGGUAUGCAGCCUAGGGUUGCUCAGUAGAAGAGGCUGUUAUAAUGUUCAUGGUGUGAACCAGUGCAUUUGGGCAGCAUAUGUAUUAUUGCGGUAUUCUGGCUUUGCUCUCGUCUUCCUGAAGGCCAUCCAUUCUGCCGGUUAAAUCAGUAUUUCUCCUGGUUGGAAUGCUUGAUCCUUUCGUGGCUUAACUAGAACUUAAGUCAAUAAGUAGCUAUUAUGUCGAGUAGCUGUAUCUUCAUAAUGCUUUAUUUAUGUUUAGCUUAUCCUUUGGUGUGCUUUGUCAUGAGUGGAGUUUCAGGUUGCUUUAUCUCUAGUUUAAAGCUAGAGUAGCUUCACUGCUUAUGGACCAAAUUAUCUAGUUGUAUCUCUAUUCUACAGAAUCAUAUAUUCGUGUUUGACUGUAGUAUUUAUGCUGGAUACUCUCUCCCUAUUGUGGUUAAGUCUGAAACGUUGAUCGCUGGCGGUUGUGUUCAUCUCUGGUCCCUUGCUUUGCUUUAGCUCACCUUGGAGUUAAGGUGUUACUUUUAUUCUUCAAAUUUGACGGUUUGCAACAGAUGCUAGUCCCGAAACUAUGCACUGAUAGAGGCUUGGUACUGUAGCUGCUUCAAACGGACGGUCAAGUAUAGUCUGCUUCUUUAUGUAACUGGAAUGUGACAUCCUAUUUGUACAUUCUUUUUUGAGAAACAUUGUUCGUAUGCAUGAUGAAGCUGUGAAUAUGUUUCAGGGUUAGCAUCUGAUGUUUGGUAUGUAGAUGGAUUAAACAGGCAUAGUAGAGGGAACUGAUUAGCCCUUCAAGCCUUUUGGUCUUAAAUUUUGAUAGUACAUAUGCAGUGAUAAAGAGCUUACUAGCAGCAAGAUGGUAGCAUCAACUUCUAAGGUAGUGUAGAUCCCAAAAAACAGUGAUGCUACAUGAUGAAUGAUGUACAGGUAGAAACCCUAGAGUACAGUAGCGAGGCAUUUGGCAAGUAAAAUAAUUGUCCUUCCUCCUUCGUUUCGUUUCUGUACAGGUUGCAUGUGACGCCAUUCCGUGUAAAGCAUGUCCAAGUGAGGGUGAAAAUGAUAUUGGAAAUCUGCUGAUUUUGCUUGAUGAGCUGAUGAGAAGUUGCGAUUUGAAGCAUUGGCACAGAAUGCAAGCUACUUGCUUUUUAUGUGCUUCAUGUUCUUGAGGAUCUUGCUGUGCUGCAAGGUGGUGGUGCAUUGACCCAAAAGUACAUUAAGCUGGAGACGUGAAGUUUUCACUUGUCACAUAUAUAAAGUAACACGAGACUUUGGAGAUCGCUGCUUGACCCCAGACGAGCUCUAUCCAGAACAAACAACAAUUCUCUCAUGGAUCGACUGAAAUAUGAGUCUGAUUUACUGUCAAAGAUGGAAGGUUGCGUGACUUGAUGGUAUUAUUAUGCUAGUAUAUCUGUGAUGUCAUUUGGAAAGCUGUGCUGUCAUUUUAUCUCCAAUGUAUUUUGGACACUUCGCAAUAGUCUAAGCCAACUAUUGCAGUGAUUCUUUCCUCAAA